CCCUUAGAUGUUCUGGGCCGCACGCGCGCUACACUGAUGCAUUCAACGAGUCUAAAACCUGCUCUGAUAGGGGUGGGUAAUCUUUUGAAUGUGCAUCGUGAUUGGGAUAGAUGAUUGCAAUUUUUCAUCUUCAACGAGGAAUGCCUAGUAAACGCAAGUCAUCAGCUUGCAUUGAUUGCGUCCCUGCCCUUUGUACACACCGCCCGUCGCUCCUACCGAUUGAAUGAUCCGAUGAAUAUCAUGGAUUGAGGAUGCAAGUAGGUUAGCCUAUCUUCAUCUUCGAGAAGUGAAGUAAAUCUUAUCAUUUAGAGGAAGGAGAAGUCGUAACA
RNAcentral lists this ribosomal RNA (329 nucleotides) under uncultured eukaryote. RNAcentral describes it as "partial 18S ribosomal RNA". It matches the Rfam family "Eukaryotic small subunit ribosomal RNA", at positions 1470 to 1796 of the family's 1831-position model. The record is from RNAcentral.